RNAcentral lists this transfer RNA (69 nucleotides) under Paralichthys lethostigma (southern flounder). RNAcentral's name for it is "tRNA-Ala". It matches the Rfam family "tRNA". Rfam says of the family: Transfer RNA (tRNA) molecules are approximately 80 nucleotides in length. Their secondary structure includes four short double-helical elements and three loops (D, anti-codon, and T loops). The record is from RNAcentral. RNAcentral also lists the same sequence under 1 other name. Lineage: Eukaryota; Metazoa; Chordata; Actinopteri; Pleuronectiformes; Paralichthyidae.
AAGGCUUUAGCUUAAUUAAAGUGCCUGCUUUGCAUGCAGCUGAUGUGGGAUAGCAGCCCGCAAGUCUUA